This 364-nucleotide ribosomal RNA is filed under the name uncultured Alphaproteobacteria bacterium. RNAcentral describes it as "bacterial SSU rRNA". It matches the Rfam family "Bacterial small subunit ribosomal RNA", at positions 340 to 721 of the family's 1533-position model. Lineage: Bacteria; Pseudomonadati; Pseudomonadota; Alphaproteobacteria. The record is from RNAcentral.
UACGGGGGGCUGCAGUGGGGAAUAUUGGACAAUGGGCGCAAGCCUGAUCCAGCCAUGCCGCGUGGGUGAUGAAGGCCCUAGGGUUGUAAAGCCCUUUCGGCGGGGAAGAUAAUGACGGUACCCGCAGAAGAAGCCCUGGCUAACUUCGUGCCAGCAGCCGCGGUAAUACGAAGGGGGCUAGCGUUGCUCGGAAUCACUGGGCGUAAAGCGCACGUAGGCGGCUUUUUAAGUCAGGGGUGAAAUCCUGGAGCUCAACUCCAGAACUGCCUUUGAUACUGAGAAGCUUGAGUCCGGGAGAGGUGAGUGGAACUGCGAGUGUAGAGGUGAAAUUCGUAGAUAUUCGCAAGAACACCAUCUUUCUAGA